AAAGCAUCUGGCCUACACCCAGAAGAUUCUCAAUAUUAUGAGACAUUUUGAACUACUGCUAGCCCAACUCACUCUUAAUUAAACUAUAGAAUCAAAUUUUAAAUUAAAUCAUUUAAUCGCAUAUCAAAGUAUAGGAGAUAGAAAUGAUACACUGGCGCUAUAGAGAAAGUACCGUAAGGGAAAGAUGAAAGAAGAUAAGUAUAAGUAUAAAAAAGCAAAGAUUAACCCUUGUACCUUUUGCAUAAUGGAUCAACUAGAAUCAAUCUAGCAAAGAGAACUGGGUUAGACCCCCCGAAACCAAACGAGCCUACCUAAAAA
Molecule: ribosomal RNA, 318 nt
Filed under: Scarturus euphraticus (Euphrates jerboa)
Lineage: Eukaryota; Metazoa; Chordata; Mammalia; Rodentia; Dipodidae
Description: partial 16S ribosomal RNA
Source: RNAcentral